CCUACGGGUGUCUGCAGUGAGGAAUAUUUGUCAAUGGGCUUACGCCUGAACCAGCCCAGUCGCGUGAGGGAAGACUGCCCUAUGGGUUGUAAACCUCUUUUGUCAGUGCGCAACGCCGGCUACGUGUAGCCGGACUGAGAGUACCUGAAGAACACGCAUCGGCUCACUCCGUGCCAGCAGCCGCGGUAAUACGGGUGCUGCGAGCGUUUUCCGGCUUUCUUGGGUUUAAAUGGUGCGUAGGCGGAAUGCCAAGUCAGCGGUAAAAUCGCGGGGCUCAACCUCGCUCCGCCGUUGAAACUGGCGUUCUUGAGUGGGCGAGAAGUAUGCGGAAUGCGUGGUGUAGCGGUGAAAUGCAUAGAUAUCACGCAGAACUCCGAUUGCGAAGGCAGCAUACCGGCGCCCAACUGACGCUGAAGCACGAAAGCGUGGGUAUCGAACAGGAUUAGAUACCCUAGUAGUC
RNAcentral lists this ribosomal RNA (460 nucleotides) under uncultured bacterium. Its description in RNAcentral is "partial 16S ribosomal RNA". It matches the Rfam family "Bacterial small subunit ribosomal RNA", at positions 338 to 795 of the family's 1533-position model. The record is from RNAcentral.